AUGUAUUUGUACAUACACUUUGUGUAAAUUUAAUAGUAUCCACUAGAUAUACCUAACCAUAUGAAGAACUAAUAGAUCCUUGUUUUUGGGUCUUCUCAGUAACAUCAACUGAAGCUGUUCCAAACUUUACAACUAUGUCUAUGAAGAAAGGAACAUGAAUUUGUUGUGACAAAUCUGAUUUCACACCAACCAUAAUGAAGUAAAAACUGAAUGUUUAAAUUUCAUUAUUGACAUGUUUAUUAGUGUAAAACAUAAUUUGAUACAACAGAUCUUGUUCAGAAGGAUGGUGUUGCAUGAGCAACAUGGCCGGCAAAGUUCUUUUGAGUGAGAAUGCAGCGCCCACGACUCCGCCCUGGAACGGUGGAGCAUGGAUUUUUUUGAGAACCUCGCACGGUGCCUCUUUGGAGUGACUGUAUUAUUAGAUUCUUGUGAAGCCAUUGCUCCUCUUCUAAUGGCCUUGAAGCAUAUAUUUGAUGUAAACCCAAUAGAAGAAUCGUUGUGAACACAAACAUCUUUGUGUAGCAAUUCAUUAUUGUGGAUGAGGGAAUCAAACUUUAGGAUAUAGUAAAUAAUUCGAAGUUUAGUUUGAGAAGGAGGAUAUAAAGGAGCAAGGAUUGUUAAAACUCAAGAGAAGCAAAAAUAUUGGUAUAUAUUAUCAGUGAUGACAAUG
RNAcentral lists this long non-coding RNA (670 nucleotides) under Lupinus angustifolius (narrow-leaved blue lupine). Its description in RNAcentral is "long non-coding RNA (LANG_LNC001341)". Lineage: Eukaryota; Viridiplantae; Streptophyta; Magnoliopsida; Fabales; Fabaceae. The record is from RNAcentral.